This 497-nucleotide ribosomal RNA is filed under the name uncultured bacterium. Its description in RNAcentral is "partial 16S ribosomal RNA". It matches the Rfam family "Bacterial small subunit ribosomal RNA", at positions 28 to 507 of the family's 1533-position model. The record is from RNAcentral.
GAUGAACGCUGGCGGCGUGCCUAAUACAUGCAAGUCGAGCGAACGGACGAGAAGCUUGCUUCUCUGAUGUUAGCGGCGGACGGGUGAGUAACACGUGGAUAACCUACCUAUAAGACUGGGAUAACUUCGGGAAACCGGAGCUAAUACCGGAUAAUAUUUUGAACCGCAUGGUUCAAAAGUGAAAGACGGUCUUGCUGUCACUUAUAGAUGGAUCCGCGCUGCAUUAGCUAGUUGGUAAUGUAACGGCUUACCAAGGCAACGAUGCAUAGCCGACCUGAGAGGGUGAUCGGCCACACUGGAACUGAGACACGGUCCAGACUCCUACGGGAGGCAGCAGUAGGGAAUCUUCCGCAAUGGGCGAAAGCCUGACGGAGCAACGCCGCGUGAGUGAUGAAGGUCUUCGGAUCGUAAAACUCUGUUAUUAGGGAAGAACAUAUGUGUAAGUAACUGUGCACGUCUUGACGGUACCUAAUCAGAAAGCCACGGCUAACUACGUG